This 417-nucleotide ribosomal RNA is filed under the name Taeniophallus nicagus. Its description in RNAcentral is "partial 12S ribosomal RNA". The record is from RNAcentral. Lineage: Eukaryota; Metazoa; Chordata; Lepidosauria; Squamata; Dipsadidae.
GUUCGCCAAAUAACUACGAGUGCAAACUUAAAAUUUAAAAGACUUGACGGUACCUCACAACAACCUAGAGGAGCCUGCCUAAUAACCGACACCCCACGAUUAACCCAACCCACUCUAGCCUAACAGUCUAUAUACCACCGUCGCCAGCCUACCUUGUGAAAGAAACAAAGUGGGCACAACAAGCGCCCCCUAAAACGACAGGUCGAGGUGUAACCCAUGAGUGGGUAGUAGGUGGGCUACAUUUUCUAACGUAGAAAAUACGAACAAACCAUGAAACUAGAAACUGAAGGUGGAUUUAGCAGUACGUUAAGAAUAGAACACCUAACCGAAACCCAUGCAAUGAGGUGUGUACACACCGCCCGUCAUCCCUGUCAACAUCCCCCAAAAAAAUUUAUAAAACAACUAACUCCCAAAACA